GUUAAGUUAGUUUAUUUUUAAAACGUCAGCCUGUGGAUUUGAAAAAAGGAGUUUAUUCCUACUUAACC
This 68-nucleotide transfer RNA is filed under the name Conus nobilis. RNAcentral's name for it is "tRNA-His". It matches the Rfam family "tRNA". From Rfam's summary of the family: Transfer RNA (tRNA) molecules are approximately 80 nucleotides in length. Their secondary structure includes four short double-helical elements and three loops (D, anti-codon, and T loops). Lineage: Eukaryota; Metazoa; Mollusca; Gastropoda; Neogastropoda; Conidae. The record is from RNAcentral.